UCCACCCUCUCUGGUACGUAAGAGCAGUCAGAGCAAUCCUCUGUCAUGAAUAUUUAGAAAUCUGCUUAAAAAGCUUUACCAAAAAUGAUUGCUGGUGACCUGCCUUGAUAUUCCUGGGUCCUUUUUGCAUACUUUGUCAGGGCCUACCAGGAUUAAAUUCUGGUGGUAUUUAGUUGGUGAUUCUGUUCCAGAUUUUGGAAACCAGAACAGUCUCUUGAGGAACAACUUCCUAUUAGGGCUAAUUUAUACUGUAGUGCAGAACACUCUUGAGACUGAACAAGGGAAUCAUUGCUAAGUAUGCCAAAAGAAGAGUUAUAAACUAGCAAGCAGCAGCUUAUAGUCACCCUAGCUGAGUCUUUCUCAUUCAUACUUAUUUGAUUUCCUUAUUAAUUUAAUCCAAUCUCUUUGCCCCAUCUUACCGUGGUCACUGUGUAUUGAGCCUCUCAGGAUGAAAUUCAUAAGGAAAUCAACCAUUUUUCUCUGGUAUGUGGAAAUUUAAGUCAAAACUCUUCA
Molecule: long non-coding RNA, 513 nt
Filed under: Pan troglodytes (chimpanzee)
Lineage: Eukaryota; Metazoa; Chordata; Mammalia; Primates; Hominidae
Description: long non-coding RNA NONPTRT014212
Source: RNAcentral